CCGUGUUCAAGCGCGGGGAGUCAAACGGGCACGACCCGAAACCGGACGAUCUAGACAUGGACAAGGUGAAGCGUGCCGAAAGGCACGUGGAGGCCUGUUAGCGUUGGUGUCCUACAAUACCCUCGCGUGAUCUAUGUCUAGGGGGGAAAGGCCCAUCGAGUCCGGAAACAGCUGGUUCCAACCGAAAAAUGUCGAAGCAUUACCUCUGCCGAGAUAGUUCGUGAGGUAGAGCUACGGAUUGGGGGACCGCACUCCGAGAGGAGUGCGCCCCCCUGUCCAACUCCGAACUUACGAACGUCGUUUGACGCAGGGAGUUCGGUGCACGGGGUAAGCCUGUGUACCGUAAGGGAGACAACCCAGCGCCGGGUUAAGGUCCCCAAGUGUGGAUUAAGUGCGAUCGAAGGUGGUCUCAAGCCCCAGACAGCCGGGAGGGGAGCUUAGAAGCAGCUACCCUCUAAGAAAAGCGUAACAGCUUACCGGCCGAGGUUUGAGGCGCCCAAAAUGAUCGGGGCUCAAAUCCACCACCGAGACCUGGCCGUGCCCCUGACAGGGCAACCGUGUAGGUUGGCGUUCUGUUCGGGUGGAAGCGCGAACGAGAGUUCGUGUGGACCGUUCAGAAACGAAAAUCCUGGUCAUAGUAGCAGCGUGAGUCGGGUGAGAACCCCGACGGCCGAACGAGUAAGGGUUCCUCAGCAAUGCUAAUCAGCUGAGGGUUAGCCGGUCCUAAGUCUCACCGCAGUUCGACUGAGACAACAGGGAAACAGGUUAAUNAAGGGUUCCUCAGCAAUGCUAAUCAGCUGAGGGUUAGCCGGUCCUAAGUCUCACCGCAGUUCGACUGAGACAACAGGGAAACAGGUUAAUAUUCCUGUGCCGGUAUGCAAUCAAAGUUGACGCUUCGGGGCCGCUCGAACCGGGCAGUCGCCCGGUCAAACAGUCGAAGAGCGUGGAAGCCGUAAUGGCACGAAGCGAUCGAAUGGCUGGAUAGCGUAAGUCGAGCCAACCUGGAGCCCGUGAAAAGACGAGCAUACCGUCCGUACCGAGAUCCGACACAGGUACUCGUGGCAGCGAAAGCCAAGGUCUGUCGGGAAUAACCGACGUUAGGGAAUUCGGCAAGUUAGUCCCGUACGUUCGCAAUAAGGGAUGCCUGCCCUGCAAUGGGGCAGGUCGCAGUGACUCGGGCGCUCCAACUGUCUAGUAACAACAUAGGUGACCGCAAAUCCGCAAGGACUCGUACGGUCACUGAAUCCUGCCCAGUGCGGGUAUCUGAACACCCANAACUGUCUAGUAACAACAUAGGUGACCGCAAAUCCGCAAGGACUCGUACGGUCACUGAAUCCUGCCCAGUGCGGGUAUCUGAACACCCAGUACAAUGGGACGAAGGACCCGUUAACGGCGGGGGUAACUAUGACCCUCUUAAGGUAGCGUAGUACCUUGCCGCUUCAGUAGCGGCUUGCAUGAAUGGAUCAAUGAGAGCGCCACUGUCCCAACGUUGGGCCCGGUGAACUGUACGUUCCAGUGCGGAGUCUGGAGACCCCCAAGGGGAAGCGAAGACCCUAUNGAGAGCGCCACUGUCCCAACGUUGGGCCCGGUGAACUGUACGUUCCAGUGCGGAGUCUGGAGACCCCCAAGGGGAAGCGAAGACCCUAUAGAGCUUUACUGCAGGCUGUCACUGAGACGUGGUCGCCAUUGUGCAGCAUAGGUAGGAGCCGUUACACAGGUACCCGCGCUAGCGGGCCACCGAGGCAGCAUUGAAAUACUACCCGAUGGUGACUGCGACUCUCACUCCUGGCGGAGGACACUGGUAGCCGGGCAGUUUGACUGGGGCGGUACGCGCCUGAAAAGAUAUCGGGCGCGCCCCAAGAUUUCCUCACCCGCGUCGGAGACGCGGGAAAGAGCGCAAGAGCAUACGGAAGUCUGACAGUGUCCGGCCUAACGACGGACGCUGACGCGAAAGCGUGGUCUAGCGAACCAAUUAGGCUGCUUGAUGCGGCCAAUUGCUGACAGAAAAGCUACCUUAGGGAUAACAGAGUCGUCACNGAGGUUGUUCGCCUAUUAAAGGAGGUCGUGAGCUGGGUUUAGACCGUCGUGAGACAGGUCGGCUGCUAUCUAUUGGGGGUGUGAGGUUCCUGACAGGAACGUUCGUAUAGUACGAGAGGAACUCCGAAUGGGUGCCACUGGUGUACCGGCUGUUCGACAGAGCACGUGCCGGGUAGCCACGCACCACGGGGUAAGAGCUGAACGCAUCUAAGCUCGAAACCCACCUGGAAAAGAGGAACCACUGAGGCCACUUCUAGAAGAGAAGAUCGAUAGACUCGGGGNAAGAGCUGAACGCAUCUAAGCUCGAAACCCACCUGGAAAAGAGGAACCACUGAGGCCACUUCUAGAAGAGAAGAUCGAUAGACUCGGGGUGUACGCGUCGAGGCAACGAGACGUUGAGCCCGCGAGCACUAA
Molecule: ribosomal RNA, 2451 nt
Filed under: Natrialba taiwanensis DSM 12281
Lineage: Archaea; Methanobacteriati; Methanobacteriota; Halobacteria; Halobacteriales; Natrialbaceae
Description: bacterial LSU rRNA
Rfam family: Archaeal large subunit ribosomal RNA
Source: RNAcentral